RNAcentral lists this ribosomal RNA (428 nucleotides) under Actinomycetes bacterium. RNAcentral's name for it is "Actinobacteria bacterium partial 16S ribosomal RNA". It matches the Rfam family "Bacterial small subunit ribosomal RNA", at positions 355 to 776 of the family's 1533-position model. The record is from RNAcentral. Lineage: Bacteria; Bacillati; Actinomycetota; Actinomycetes.
UGGGGAAUCUUGCGCAAUGGGCGAAAGCCUGACGCAGCGACGCCGCGUGGGGGAAGAAGGCUUUCGGGUUGUAAACCCCUUUCAGGAGGGACGAAGCCACUCGGGUUAAUAGCCCAGAGGGUGACGGUACCUCCAGAAGAAGCCCCGGCUAACUACGUGCCAGCAGCCGCGGUAAUACGUAGGGGGCAAGCGUUGUCCGGAUUUAUUGGGCGUAAAGAGCGUGUAGGCGGUCAGGUAGGUCCGUUGUGAAAACUCGAGGCUCAACCUCGAGACGCCGAUGGAAACCAUCUGACUAGAGUCCGGAAGAGGAGAGUGGAAUUCCUGGUGUAGCGGUGAAAUGCGCAGAUAUCAGGAAGAACACCCGUGGCUAAGGCGGCUCUCUAGUACGGUACUGACGCUGAGACGCGAAAGCGUGGGGAGCGAACAGG